AAGCUUUCGAGAGUUUCCUCUCUGCCUCAGGUUGAAGCAAUUCUUUUUGCUUAAUUAUUCAGUACUGCUUCAGAUCUGAGGAAGAAAGGAAACUCUCGAAAGCUU
Molecule: non-coding RNA, 105 nt
Organism: Pelobates cultripes (western spadefoot toad)
Lineage: Eukaryota; Metazoa; Chordata; Amphibia; Anura; Pelobatidae
Source: the annotation of a GenBank genome assembly